CAACAACUUGGGCACAAUUUGCGAUGUUUACCGUAGUUUCAUGGAAGAAACGUAAUGACAGAAAGUUGGAAAACCAUUAUAAACUCGUUGAAGACAUUGUUUUAUUUGUUUUCUGUAAAAUAAACAGAAAAUUCAGACGUAUUUGUCAUUGACUGCCUUCAUUUUUGAUACGAAAAUAACAAAAUCCGCGGCCAUAUUGUGAUCAUAUUUACAUCAUAUUUACGUACUGUUUAUAAUCCUCCUAAGAAGGAGCACACCCGAAUAAAGAAAGAUAACUCAAUCUGAUUUUUUUCCUAGCAUUGAGUAACCCAUUUACAUAUUCUAAUUCUAAAAUGUGUCUCCAUACUUCUUGCUUAAGAAUAUAUAUGUUUAGGUAUUUAUUUUGAGUUAUGGGAAAAGUUAAAGAGGGUCUUAGUAG
Molecule: long non-coding RNA, 418 nt
Filed under: Mytilus galloprovincialis (Mediterranean mussel)
Lineage: Eukaryota; Metazoa; Mollusca; Bivalvia; Mytilida; Mytilidae
Source: RNAcentral